Malus domestica (apple) is the source of this 1169-nucleotide non-coding RNA. The record is from RefSeq and is a predicted model, not a curated record. Lineage: Eukaryota; Viridiplantae; Streptophyta; Magnoliopsida; Rosales; Rosaceae.
AAAACCCAAAAACAACUGAAUCACUGUUCCGUUCAUAAGAACAGUGUAGUUCCGAUUUUACCCUUACUUAGUUUGUGUUAUUACAUGUCUGCCAUUCGGUGUUGAGUUAUUGAGCUGUCGUUCACUCUCUUCGACAGCACAGCAAGAAAACUCAGUUUCCUCCUUCAUCUGUUCAUUCCUGCUCACUUCAAUUUGAACGAAAAAGAUCCCCAUCGAGUCCGGAAGGCCCCUUCCUGCAGCCCGUCCCCCGUCCAAAAACGAAGGUUGGAGUUGCUCUUAGUUUGUGUUAUUACAAGUCUCCAUAUCUCUUCCCUCCGUGACUCAGCUGACGACGACGGGCUAUUUCUGUUUGAAAGCCGGUGAAUCGGACCUCAACGUUUUACCAAUCGUCUCCCUUUCAUCUCAGGAACAAGAAACACUCGUUGCAUGCCUCGAUUCGUUACGGUUUCGAUGAGGAUUUUUUUAAUACUCCUCAGAGUUUUCCUACGUUUAUGCGACGAUUCCGGCAAAGGUCGGCGUCGAUGUUGGUCUCAAACUAUUCCUCAGCACCUCAGGACAUGGUAGGAGAUAAUUCUUCUUCAUUGUGAACAUUCAGGGUUCAUGGAUUGUUAAGCAAUGUGUGGGAAGAAAGCAUGCCCCAUUGAUCAGGCACUUGAAAUCAAUUAUUUCCACGAGAAGAACUAUUUGGAGGACAUGCAAAUCCAUUUUGAGUAAAUAGUGAUCAAACAAAGAAAUUUUGAAGUAAUUCCAAUUGGAGUGGGUUCAUGAGUCUUUCAAGAUGAUUGUGUCAAAAUUUCAGAUUUUUACUUCAUGCCAUUUGACCAUGGUGAAGAAAUAAGUGCUGAUUGCGUGGCUUUCCCAAAUUGACCUUUUUGGAUGUUUUUGGGCAUUUUGACGAUCAAGAUGGCAUUUUUAGAGGAAAGGUACUUCUGAGGUUUUGAAAAGGGCAUGCCUAGCUUUAAAAAUAAGACCUUUUGGGACCAAAUCAAAGCUAAUUUGUAUGGAUGAUCUUCACUAUGAAGAUUAAGAAAUUAAGUUGUUUCGAUUAUGAAAUUUCUACAGUGAAAAUAUGUUAUUUGCAAGUGGGAGAGUGAGCUUAUCUCCAAACGGGAUAAUGCAAGUACUAUUCUUCUUUUAAUCAAGUUUAUCACUUUUGAAUUCACAAGAAA